This 318-nucleotide ribosomal RNA is filed under the name uncultured eukaryote. Its description in RNAcentral is "partial large subunit ribosomal RNA". It matches the Rfam family "Eukaryotic large subunit ribosomal RNA", at positions 40 to 350 of the family's 3401-position model. The record is from RNAcentral.
AUAUUAUUAAGCGGAGGAAAAGAAACUAACAAGGAUUCCCCUAGUAACGGCGAGUGAAGCGGGAAGAGCUCAACUUGAAAAUCGGUGCUCCACGCGGGGUAUCGAGUUGUAGUCUAGAGACGUGCUGUCAGCGUGUGACCCAGCUAUAAAUCUUUUGGAACAAGGUAUCAUAGAGGGUGAGAAUCCCGUCUUUGAGCUGGAGUUCGCCGCGUACGAUACACGUUCAACGAGUCGAAUAGGUCGGGAUUCCUGUUCUAAAUGGGUGGUAAAAUUUCAUCUAAAGCUAAAUACAGGCGAGAGACCGAUAGCGCACAAGUA